Molecule: non-coding RNA, 67 nt
Organism: Podarcis lilfordi (Lilford's wall lizard)
Lineage: Eukaryota; Metazoa; Chordata; Lepidosauria; Squamata; Lacertidae
Source: the annotation of a GenBank genome assembly
GAUGCUCAAUCGGUAGAGCCUGAGGCUCUUAAUCUCAGGGUCGUGGGUUCGAGCUCCACAGUGAGCA